This 87-nucleotide transfer RNA is filed under the name Candidatus Dependentiae bacterium ADurb.Bin331. RNAcentral's name for it is "tRNA-Ser". It matches the Rfam family "tRNA". From Rfam's summary of the family: Transfer RNA (tRNA) molecules are approximately 80 nucleotides in length. Their secondary structure includes four short double-helical elements and three loops (D, anti-codon, and T loops). The record is from RNAcentral.
GUCGGAGUGGCGAAAUUGGCAGACGCGCAGGUCUCAGAAGCCUGAGGUAGAAAUACUGUAUCGGUUCAAAUCCGAUCUCCGGCACCA